CCAAUAGCGUAUAUUUAAGUUGUUGCAGUUAAAAAGCUCGUAGUUGAACUUCGGGAUCAAUUAGUUGGUCAUGCCUUGGUAUGUACUGAUUUUAUUGGUUCUCACCUUCUAAAGAACUAUAAUGUCAUUUAUUUGAUGUUAUAGGGAAUUAGGACUGUUACCUUGAAAAAAUUAGAGUGUUUAAAGCAGGCUCACGCUUGAAUACAUUAGCAUGGAAUAAUGAAAUAGGACAUCGCAUUCUAUUUUGUUGGUUUCUAGGAUCGAUGUAAUGAUUAAUAGGGAUAGUUGGGGGCAUUAGUAUUCAAUUGUCAGAGGUGAAAUUCUUGGAUUUAUUGAAGACUAACUACUGCGAAAGCAUUUGCCAAGGAUGUUUUCAUUAAUCAAGAACGAAAGUUAGGGGAUCGAAGACGAUCAGAUACCGUCGUAGUCUUAACCAUAAACUAUGCCGACUAGGGAUCGGAUGAUGUUGAUUUUUUAAUGACUCAUUCGGCACCUUACG
This 499-nucleotide unclassified non-coding RNA is filed under the name uncultured Glomeromycotina. RNAcentral describes it as "SSU rRNA". It matches the Rfam family "Eukaryotic small subunit ribosomal RNA", at positions 591 to 1092 of the family's 1831-position model. Lineage: Eukaryota; Fungi; Glomeromycota. The record is from RNAcentral.